UUCCGGUUGAUCCCGCCGGACCUGACUGCUAUCGGAUUGAUACUAAGCCAUGCGAGUCUUUGCAGUAAUGCAAGGCAUACGGCUCAGUAACACGUAGUCAACUUACCCUAUGGACGAGGAUAAUCUCGGGAAACUGAGCAUAAUACUCGAUAGAUCAUAAUGCCUGGAAUGGUUUAUGGUUAAAAUGAUUCGUCGCCAUAGGAUGGGACUGCGGCCUAUCAGCUUGUUGGUGAGGUAAUGGCCCACCAAGGCGAUUACAGGUACGGGCUCUGAGAGGAGAAGCCCGGAGAUGGGUACUGAGACAAGGACCCAGGCCCUAUGGGGCGCAGCAGGCGAGAAAACUUUGCAAUGUGCGAAAGCACGACAAGGUUAAUCCGAGUGAUUUCUGCUAAAGAAAUCUUUUGCAAGUCAUAAAACCACUAGUGAAUAAGGGGUGGGCAAGUUCUGGUGUCAGCCGCCGCGGUAAAACCAGCACCUCAAGUGGUCAGGAGGAUUAUUGGGCCUAAAGCAUCCGUAGCCGGCUCUGUAAGUUUUCGGUUAAAUCCAUGUGCUCAACGCAUGGGCUGCCGAAAAUACUGCAUAGCUAGGGAGUGGGAGAGGUAGACGGUACUCGGUAGGAAGGGGUAAAAUCCUUUGAUCUAUCGAUGACCACCUGUGGCGAAGGCGGUCUACCAGAACACGUUCGACGGUGAGGGAUGAAAGCUGGGGGAGCAAACCGGAUUAGAUACCCGGGUAGUCCCAGCUGUAAACGAUGCAGACUCGAUGAUGCAUUGGCAUAUAGCCAGUGCAGUGUCGCAGGGAAGCCGUUAAGUCUGCCGCCUGGGAAGUACGUACGCAAGUAUGAAACUUAAAGGAAUUGGCGGGGGAGCACCACAAGGGGUGAAGCCUGCGGUUCAAUUGGAUUCAACGCCGG
This 913-nucleotide ribosomal RNA is filed under the name uncultured marine archaeon. RNAcentral describes it as "bacterial SSU rRNA". It matches the Rfam family "Archaeal small subunit ribosomal RNA", at positions 1 to 921 of the family's 1478-position model. The record is from RNAcentral.